AUUUGCUUAAUGUCAACCGUGACACCAGCAUUUUCGUCUGUUAAUCUGUGAAAGCCUAUUCGGGCGUGAGAUGGAACGCCACUGAAAAAAAGAAUAUUUUGCGUCUCGUAGAAGAAAUGCUAUGGAGUUAGUCUUGAGGAAUAUCUUCGGAUUUCGAGUUUUAUCUGAUGUAUUUGUACAAUUAUUAGUGUGACAGUUUUCCGAUUAGAAGGAAAAAAAUAUUGUUUAUCGGAAUUCUUAUGUAGGCAUAAGGCUUAAGUAUACAUAAGGCAAAGGAAAAAUAAUGGGAGUGUACUUUGGCCCAUGAGUGCAGUGCGCAGCAGAAAGUACCCAGAUGAAGCUUGCAUCAAGGACCACGAAGAUUGCAAUAAGUCCGAAACGAUAAUCCAUCGUGAAAGAGACGUGUGUAGAUAUGGACUAUUCGAUAUUCCUUUGGCAAGGAUAAGCGACCAUAGAGAAUACGCAGGGGAAUCCAGCUCCCCUCUUUCUCUCUUAAUUCUACGAACAUGCGACGAAAAGAUAAAAGAGCAGAAAGAGAUGAGAGAAGAAAACACGUUAGACCAGAGUGGGGAGAAAUCCUUGGAAAAUGAACAUGAGAUCAUACUCAUGAUCAUCGCAUGAUAUUCUAGUAAUGAGGAAAAAGAAGAAACAUGAGUCAGACAUGACAAAUCAUCUUCGAUGACCAAUUGCAAAUCUUCGCGUACUUAAAAACGAUCACAACGGAUAAACUAGUUAAGAAAAAGAUGAACUACUAAAAAUAAUAAGGGAAAAAGCAGGAAAAGACGAAAUAAAGAAGAGUGCGCGUCAGACAAGAGUGGAGAGAGAUGUUGACAGUAUGUGGAUCAUGAAUCUUUCUUGCAAUCUACGGAAAAGGUAACGUAAGAGGGAACUCUAGUGUAAACGCCAGGUGUGUUGACUAUCGCGCAGCCCAGACCUAAGCUAGUGAUACCGACCACAUAG
Non-coding RNA from Linepithema humile (Argentine ant), 960 nucleotides. The record is from RefSeq and is a predicted model, not a curated record. NCBI's taxonomy places the organism in Eukaryota, Metazoa, Arthropoda, Insecta, Hymenoptera, Formicidae.